GGAGGGGUCGGACGAGACGAACAAAGGGUCGGCAGCUUACCUUCAUCUUACAGAUGAAGCUUGGGGUCGGGAAAGAACAGGCUUGGGCGGAAAGACUAUGGCUUGGGCAGCGGCGAUGAUGCCCGGUGGUACUCCGGCGGCGGCGGUGCUUCUUGGGGACCACAAGCAAGUUCUUGUGCAGCACGGGGAGCAAGAGGCUGGGCGGAUUGAGAGAGCGGUGUGGAGCGGAGAGGAGAGUUCCUCAGAACUUAGGCGGUGGCGCUGUGAGCACGAACAGGGAGCAAAGCGGGAGGGCAGCGAUG
Molecule: long non-coding RNA, 302 nt
Filed under: Setaria italica (foxtail millet)
Lineage: Eukaryota; Viridiplantae; Streptophyta; Magnoliopsida; Poales; Poaceae
Description: long non-coding RNA (SITA_LNC001235)
Source: RNAcentral